UGCUUGCUUAGAAGAUCCAUACUUUUUCACUCAUAUGACCCAAGAACAUGUGUCAUAAUUUGGUAACGUCAUUAUCAUGCAUAGAAGAAGAUGCGGUUCUUGAACUUCUCACAAUAGAGCAUUGCAAGGUAUAAAUUACCAACUCAGUUGGCUUUCAAUAAUACAAGCACACCUUUUCAUACCUUUAAAACUCUACCUUCGAUUGAAUAUUACCAUCCGAUAGACUCGAGGGUGCCAAGAGAAAUUAAGUUUCUCUUCAAAUCUGGGAACGAUAGAAAUUAGCCAAUGUUCUAACAAUGUCAUUAUGAAUCUUGAUAAAAAAAAAUACCUAUUCUUGCAAUAUUGUACUGCGUAUCAUUGUCCAUCAAAGCAACACCACUAUUAAUUUGUUCAAAAUUGGUAAAAAAAAAGUCCUUCUAAGGAUAUAUAUGAAAAGUACAUCCAUAAUCAAGAAUCCAUUUUAUUUUAAUCCUCAUAUUAUAAGAGAUAACAAAUUAAAGAAAAUCAUCAUCACAGUUGGCUUCAAUAUUAGCAGCUUUAGGGGAUUGUUGAAAUUUUCCAUUUUUUUGGUUUUCUUAUUUUUUCUUCAAGAUAAAACAAUUAGGAAUAUCAUGCCCAUGUUUCUUGCAACAGCGAAAGGUUUUGAUGAACUUUUGUCCCCUGGAUUUGGAUUUGAACUUUUUAUUACUAAUACUCUCAUUUUCUUGAGUUCUACCUCAAACACUUAAACCAUCACCCUUGUGCUUAGAAUAAAUUUCAAGAUAAACAAAUUAUUUGGAAAAUAUAUUAGAUUUAACAUCUUGAAAGGAUAUGGUCAAAUUUUGUAGACAUUUUGAAAUUCCUAUAUGAACAAGAGCUCCAAUACCACUUGUUAGGAAUAUUAGCACUAUGUGAAGUAUAAGAUUGGAUUAAUCGAGAAUGAUAGUGAAGAAAGUAAAGUAACAAGAAAAAGAACACACAAGAUUUACAUUGAAAACCCCAUUCGGUGUGAUAGGUAAAAAACCAUGGGAAAUCACGAGCAAAAUACAAUUAUAUAAAAAAGAUAGUAGAACAAAUCCUUAGUAAUGAGAACAAAAAACAAUAUUUUCUCUCAAAUAUUUUCUGAAAAUGGAAAAAGAUUUUUCACCCAAAUAUUCACUCAAUAAACCUCUUGUGUUUUGUAUUUUUUAUGGAAGGUGUUGUGAUAUUGUGUUGAGGCCAAAGGUGCUCCUUUUACAAGCAAGAUAGUUGGUUAUAAUAAACACUGUUAGCAAUGGCGUAAGCAGUAUAGAGAUGUGAGUGAAAGCUGUAAAAUUCUUAGCCAUUAAGAAAAUGUUAGCAGUGCAGCAGGGAGCUAUAUUGUUGAAGUCAACAUUGGUGGAUUCCAUGAGUUAUUCUUUUGCUGAAAAAAACAGUACUUACAAUGUUACUAAUGCAUUGAAGAAGUUGCACAUAUUUUGUUGAAUUUGGGUUGUUGUCUUCCUCUUUAUCAUCUCUUAUAUGUAUUGAUGGUGGAAGCAAACCAACUGGAACCAGAGGCACAGUGUACAUGGCAGAAAGAUAAUCUUGCAAUUCUCCUUCAAGCUCUC
Molecule: long non-coding RNA, 1568 nt
Filed under: Lupinus angustifolius (narrow-leaved blue lupine)
Lineage: Eukaryota; Viridiplantae; Streptophyta; Magnoliopsida; Fabales; Fabaceae
Description: long non-coding RNA (LANG_LNC003611)
Source: RNAcentral